Molecule: ribosomal RNA, 508 nt
Filed under: uncultured bacterium
Lineage: Bacteria
Description: partial 16S ribosomal RNA
Rfam family: Bacterial small subunit ribosomal RNA
Source: RNAcentral
AUUGAACGCUGGCGGCAUGCCUUACACAUGCAAGUCGAACGGCAGCGGGGGAGAAGCUUGCUUUUCCUGCCGGCGAGUGGCGAACGGGUGAGUAAUACAUCGGAACGUGCCCUGUAGUGGGGGAUAACUAGUCGAAAGAUUAGCUAAUACCGCAUACGACCUGAGGGUGAAAGUGGGGGACCGCAAGGCCUCAUGCUAUAGGAGCGGCCGAUGUCUGAUUAGCUAGUUGGUGGGGUAAAGGCCUACCAAGGCGACGAUCAGUAGCUGGUCUGAGAGGACCAUCAGCCACACAGGGACUGAGACACGGCCCAGACUCCGACGGGAGGCAGCAGUGGGGAAUUUUGGACAAUGGGCGAAAGCCUGAUCCAGCAAUGCCGCGUGUGUGAAGAAGGCCUUCGGGUUGUAAAGCACUUUUGUCCGGAAAGAAAUGGCUCUGGUUAAUACCUGGGGUCGAUGACGGUACCGGAAGAAUAAGGACCGGCUAACUACGUGCCAGCAGCCGCCGUAA